Molecule: ribosomal RNA, 441 nt
Filed under: Cangshanaltica sp. AFD-125
Lineage: Eukaryota; Metazoa; Arthropoda; Insecta; Coleoptera; Chrysomelidae
Description: partial large subunit ribosomal RNA
Source: RNAcentral
UGUAUUAUUAAUGGCCGCAGUAUUUUGACUGUGCUAAGGUAGCAUAAUCAUUAGUUUUUUAAUUGAAAGCUGGAAUGAAAGGUUGAAUAAGAAAAUAUCUUUAUUUAAUUAAAUUAAUUAAAAUUUUAUUUUUAAGUUAAAAAGCUUAAAUUUUUAUUAAAGACGAGAAGACCCUAUAGAGUUUUAUAUUUAAUUUUUUUAUUUUAAUUUAGAAUUAUGGUUGAUUAAAAUAUUAUAUAUUUAAUUGGGGUGAUUAAAAAAUUUAUUUAACUUUUUUUUAUUAAUAAUAUUAUUUUGUAAAUUAAUGAUCCUAAUUUUUAGAUUAUAAGAUUAAAUUACCUUAGGGAUAACAGCGUAAUUUUAUUAGAGAGUUCAUAUUGAAAAUAAAGAUUGCGACCUCGAUGUUGGAUUAAAAUUUAUAUUUGGUGUAGAAGCUAAAUA